Molecule: ribosomal RNA, 492 nt
Filed under: uncultured bacterium
Lineage: Bacteria
Description: partial 16S ribosomal RNA
Rfam family: Bacterial small subunit ribosomal RNA
Source: RNAcentral
AGUGAACGCUGGCGGUAGGCCUAACACAUGCAAGUCGAACGGCAGCACAGUAAGAGCUUGCUCUUACGGGUGGCGAGUGGCGGACGGGUGAGGAAUACAUCGGAAUCUACUUUUUCGUGGGGGUUAAGGAAGGGAAAGUUACGCUAAUACCGCAUACGACGUAGGGUGGAAGGCGGUGGAUCUUUGGGGCGGUCGGGAUUGAAUGAGCCGAGGUCGGAUUAGAUGGUUGGCGGGGUAAAGGCCCACCAAGGCGACGAUCCGUAGCUGGUGUGGGAGGAUGAUCAGCCACACUGGAACUGAGACACGGUCCAUACUCCUACGGGAGGCAGCAGUGGGGAAUAUUGGACAAUGGGCGCAAGCCUGAUCCAGCCAUACCGCGUGGGUGACGAAGGCCUUCGGGUUGUAAAGCCCUUUUGUUGGGAAAGAAAAGCAGCAGGUUAAUACCCCGCUGUUCUGACGGUACCCAAAGAAUAAGCACCGGCUAACUUCGUG